Molecule: ribosomal RNA, 506 nt
Filed under: uncultured bacterium
Lineage: Bacteria
Description: partial 16S ribosomal RNA
Rfam family: Bacterial small subunit ribosomal RNA
Source: RNAcentral
AGUGAACGCUGGCGGUAGGCCUAACACAUGCAAGUCGAACGGCAGCACAGGAGAGCUUGCUCUCUGGGUGGCGAGUGGUGGACGGGUGAGGAAUACAUCGGAAUCUACUCUGUCGUGGGGGAUAACGUAGGGAAACUUACGCUAAUACCGCAUACGACCUACGGGUGAAAGCAGGGGACCUUCGGGCCUUGCGCGAUUGAAUGAGCCGAUGUCGGAUUAGCUAGUUGGCGGGGUAAAGGCCCACCAAGGCGACGAUCCGUAGCUGGUCUGAGAGGAUGAUCAGCAACACUGGAACUGAGACACGGUCCAGACUCCUACGGGAGGCAGCAGUGGGGAAUAUUGGACAAUGGGCGCAAGCCUGAUCCAGCCAUACCGCGUGGGUGAAGAAGGCCUUCGGGUUGUAAAGCCCUUUUGUUGGGAAAGAAAUCCAGCUGGCUAAUACCCGGUUGGGAUGACGGUACCCAAAGAAUAAGCACCGGCUAACUUCGUGCCAGCCGCCGCGGUAA